This 358-nucleotide long non-coding RNA is filed under the name Glycine max (soybean). RNAcentral's name for it is "long non-coding RNA (GMAX_LNC003574)". Lineage: Eukaryota; Viridiplantae; Streptophyta; Magnoliopsida; Fabales; Fabaceae. The record is from RNAcentral.
UGACUGAAUAAUAAUAUUAUUGCCCAAAGGAAAGGCAAACCAACAAACACUAAACCACAGUGCCCCAUGUCUCCCUUUUGAGACAAAGACGUGUGAAUAAACUAACCCACUUUCAUUGCUUUGGUCCCUCUUCUUGUGCAUAGAAUCACACAUCCAUUUUAUGUGGGGUCAAAACCUUUUUCUUCCCACCCUCUCCAUCUUCUCCUCACAAUGAUACUCAUUUUGAUGAGUAAAUUACUCAUUAAAACAUGUCUUUAUCUAUCCACUCAUAGGAAUAGUAAAUUAUGGAUUUGAAAAUCAUCAAGGGCAGGUUCAAAUUAAUCCAUGGGUCACGUACACACUACGCACCUGUUCUCCA